RNAcentral lists this ribosomal RNA (253 nucleotides) under uncultured bacterium. RNAcentral's name for it is "partial 16S ribosomal RNA". It matches the Rfam family "Bacterial small subunit ribosomal RNA", at positions 524 to 776 of the family's 1533-position model. The record is from RNAcentral.
UACGGAGGAUCCAAGCAUUGUCCGGAUUUAUUGGGUUUAAAGGGUGCGUAGGCGGCUUAUUAAGUCAGGGGUGAAAGACGGUGGCUCAACCAUCGCAGUGCCCUUGAUACUGAUGAGCUUGAAUACACUUGAGGUAGGCGGAAUGUGACAAGUAGCGGUGAAAUGCAUAGAUAUGUCACAGAACACCAAUUGCGAAGGCAGCUUACUAAGGUGCAAUUGACGCUGAGGCACGAAAGCGUGGGGAUCAAACAGG